AUAUCUCAUUUGUACACUGCGGUUCCUCCCCGCCGUCCGCACCCACCUGGCGACUGCUCGCUACGAUUUGUUAGCC
RNAcentral lists this small RNA (76 nucleotides) under Xanthomonas fragariae. RNAcentral describes it as "sX9 sRNA". It matches the Rfam family "Xanthomonas sRNA sX9". Lineage: Bacteria; Pseudomonadati; Pseudomonadota; Gammaproteobacteria; Lysobacterales; Lysobacteraceae. The record is from RNAcentral.